GAGACUCUGUGCGCGUGCAUAUCAAUAAGCGGAGGAAAAGAAACUAACAAGGAUUCCCCUAGUAACGGCGAGUGAAGCGGGAAGAGCUCAAAUUUGAAAUCUUAAAGGGUUUCCCUUUACGAAUUGUAGUUUAAAGAAGUGUUUUCUGUUGGAGUUUCGGUAAAAGUUCUUUGGAAUAGGACAUCAUAGAGGGUGAGAAUCCCGUAUUUGAUCGUUACUUUCCAGCUGUGUGAUACACUUUCAAAGAGUCGGAUUGUUUGGGAAUGCAGUCCAAAAUGGGUGGUAAAUUUCAUCUAAAGCUAAAUAUUGGCGAGAGACCGAUAGCGAACAAGUACCGUGAGGGAAAGAUGAAAAGAACUUUGAAAAGAGAGUUAAACAGUACGUGAAAUUGUCAAAAGGGAAGCGUUUGACACCAGUGUUGUUUAGUUGAAAAUCAAUUAAAUAAUUUGUGAUUUUGAGUAGUAUUGACUUUAUCAGCUUGCUGCUUUCUUUUUCAUAAAUUAUUUAAUGCACUUUUCAGUUAACAAGUCAACAUCAAUUUCUUUUGUUGUAAAAGGGUAAGAGGAAGGCGGCUCGCGCUUCGGCUCAAGUGUUUAUAGCCUUUUAUCUCUGCAAUCGGAGAGAUUGAGGUCUGCAGCGUAGAUCCUUCGGGGUUAGAUACAUUGGUGCUAAGCUAUAGCCUUGUAUAGACAACUUGUUGACUAUGCUCAGUCAUGUAGCUUACUCGCUGAUGCUAUUUUACCUACGCUUAGGAUGUUGACAGCAGUAUAGACUGU
Molecule: ribosomal RNA, 776 nt
Filed under: uncultured Neocallimastigales
Lineage: Eukaryota; Fungi; Neocallimastigomycota; Neocallimastigomycetes; Neocallimastigales
Description: partial large subunit ribosomal RNA
Rfam family: Eukaryotic large subunit ribosomal RNA
Source: RNAcentral